CCGCGUUUUCCGUUUGCGCCGACACCCGGACUGCUGCUGCCGCGUGUGCAACAGAAAACUACUGUUUGCCCCUAACGGUUGUUUGGCCGCUGAUAAUUCGCCUGUUCGACGUGCCCGAAACAACAAUAGCGGACGAAUGAAUCAUUGUUUUCCCCGCGAGAAUUUUACGCGACGGUAUAGCCGCGGUUUCACCGAGAAUCGUAAUUUUCCUUCGAAACCGAUGACGUAACUUUAACGCGCGGGUGUAUGUUAAAAAAACGGUACGCGCUAUUUUAUCUUUAAUCGUUUCAGACGCCUAUUUAUCAAUACUCGCCGUCACGUGUGCACAUAAAGUUUAGAACGCCCUGUAUUUGUAUAUAAUUUACCAUCAUUAUUAAUCGCUUGAACGUCUUUUA
This is a non-coding RNA of Cinara cedri, 395 nucleotides long. NCBI's taxonomy places the organism in Eukaryota, Metazoa, Arthropoda, Insecta, Hemiptera, Aphididae. The record is from the annotation of a GenBank genome assembly.